Long non-coding RNA from Bubalus bubalis (water buffalo), 1375 nucleotides. RefSeq lists it as uncharacterized. Lineage: Eukaryota; Metazoa; Chordata; Mammalia; Artiodactyla; Bovidae. The record is from RefSeq and is a predicted model, not a curated record. The transcript is spliced from 3 exons.
CUCUGAUGAAAGCCAAAUUCUGCCUAAGUGCCCGAAUUAACGACCAAAGAGAGAGAGGAGAGUCUGAAGAACUUUUAUUGUGCUUUAAUGCAAAAGGGUUUUUUUUUGGAAAUGGCUAAUUUACAAAAUCGCACAUGGUAACAUUUUCAGAUCUCAGCUGAGAAAGCCCCUGUCCGUAUUCUGUUACCGUUUUCACUGCUUUUAGCUUGGCAUUGGCUCAUGAAACGAUUUUAAUUUUCCACCAGUGGCUUCUGGUUAUUUCUGCCCUUCUUUCCUCCUAACGUAACUGACAGGUCAAUUAAACAUCAGCAUUUUUUUAAUCUGGAUUUCCCCCCAUAACUAUUUUGCUUUUCUUCUAAAACUUCCAGAUGUUUUGGCUCCUUUAGGAUUUGAACGCAUGCAAGUAUAUUUGCUCCUAUUUCAAAGGCAGAGAGCUAGAUGGACCGACCAGAUGUUUCUCUAGGAAAAGCUUGGUAAUACACCAGAAAUCAGGUAUGCAGAAGACCACUGGCAAAACAUGAGAUUGAAUGGAAGGAACAACAGCUUUGGAGCUCUGGGAUCUGGCUUGCCUUCUGACACAAAGCCUGUCACCCAGCACCUUUCAGUUCACGUGGUUUCAGCAUUCCUGUGCAAAGUGGAUUUGGAGGCUUGCAGAGCAGUGAUAUCGGGUGUUGGGAACCAGGCCAGUGUCAACCCCUCAGGGACCAGCGUGCUCCAGAGACGAGCCACCUGAGUUGUCCCCACCGCGGGCUGCGUUCGCUGUGGACUUUUCCAACCUCGAGAGCUACCUGGCUGGAAGCCGCACUGACGGAAGCGCAUCCUCCCAAGGUGUCAGUGAGGACAGAGGCAAGGACGAAAACUAGCAGCUGCUGGGUUAGCGUUUCGUUAGUAGAACAAACACUCUGGGGAAAGCACACGUUCCUCUUCAUGCUGGGACCAUUGUUCAGUUGUCGGCAAUGACGUUGUUCCCUCAUCUGAACUGAGGCCCGAGCUGUCCUUCCAAGGCGCCCCUCGCAUCCUGCCCCGGCCCCCUGCUUCGUAAUCCACAGUGGGCGGCCAGUGUGUGUGAACGACGCCGUGUGUAGGGACGAGCUCGGUGCGAUUCCCAGCAUCGAGCGCUCCGGGUGUGCGGACUGGGCUUCGCUGGAGAGCGCAAUGCGGUCUGUUCCUCUGUCCACCCGGGACGGUUUGUGGGAAUCCUGUGGCAGACGGCUUUGCACAGGGAAUCCUGUGGCAGACGGCUUUGCACAGCCCCUGCAGCGCCUCUCGGGUCUCCAGCAUGCCAUCCACCCUGUGGACGGGCCUGCAGCCCCCUCACCUGCGGCAGAGUCCUUAAACACGUCUUUCUCUCUCCUUCUCCUCUUUCUUUUCUCCC